This 1175-nucleotide ribosomal RNA is filed under the name uncultured bacterium. RNAcentral's name for it is "bacterial SSU rRNA". It matches the Rfam family "Bacterial small subunit ribosomal RNA", at positions 202 to 1387 of the family's 1533-position model. The record is from RNAcentral.
GAAAUUUCGGUUGUCGAUGGGGAUGCGUUCCAUUAGGCAGUUGGUGAGGUAACGGCUCACCAAACCUUCGAUGGAUAGGGGUUCUGAGAGGAAGGUCCCCCACAUUGGAACUGAGACACGGUCCAAACUCCUACGGGAGGCAGCAGUGAGGAAUAUUGGUCAAUGGACGGGAGUCUGAACCAGCCAAGUAGCGUGAAGGAUGACUGCCCUAUGGGUUGUAAACUUCUUUUAUACGGGAAUAAAGUGAUCCACGUGUGGAUUUUUGUAUGUACCGUAUGAAUAAGGAUCGGCUAACUCCGUGCCAGCAGCCGCGGUAAUACGGAGGAUCCGAGCGUUAUCCGGAUUUAUUGGGUUUAAAGGGAGCGUAGGUGGAUUGUUAAGUCAGUUGUGAAAGUUUGCGGCUCAACCGUAAAAUUGCAGUUGAUACAGGCAGUCUUGAGUACAGUAGAGGUGGGCGGAAUUCGUGGUGUAGCGGUGAAAUGCUUAGAUAUCACGAAGAACUCCGAUUGCGAAGGCAGCUCACUGGACUGCAACUGACACUGAUGCUCGAAAGUGUGGGUAUCAAACAGGAUUAGAUACCCUGGUAGUCCACACAGUAAACGAUGAAUACUCGCUGUUUGCGAUAUACGGUAAGCGGCCAAGCGAAAGCGUUAAGUAUUCCACCUGGGGAGUACGCCGGCAACGGUGAAACUCAAAGGAAUUGACGGGGGCCCGCACAAGCGGAGGAACAUGUGGUUUAAUUCGAUGAUACGCGAGGAACCUUACCCGGGCUUAAAUUGCAUUUGAAUAAUCUGGAAACAGUUUAGCCGUAAGGCAAAUGUGAAGGUGCUGCAUGGUUGUCGUCAGCUCGUGCCGUGAGGUGUCGGCUUAAGUGCCAUAACGAGCGCAACCCUUAUCUUCAGUUACUAACAGGUCAUGCUGAGGACUCUGGAGAGACUGCCGUCGUAAGAUGUGAGGAAGGUGGGGAUGACGUCAAAUCAGCACGGCCCUUACGUCCGGGGCUACACACGUGUUACAAUGGGGGGUACAGAAGGCAGCUACCUGGUGACAGGAUGCUAAUCCCAAAAACCUCUCUCAGUUCGGAUCGAAGUCUGCAACCCGACUUCGUGAAGCUGGAUUCGCUAGUAAUCGCGCAUCAGCCAUGGCGCGGUGAAUACGUUCCCGGGCCUUGCACA